UAUCUUCCUUUUAGCAGAAUAUUGCCUUAGACUUAGAAUCUAAAAUAACCUUA
Molecule: transfer RNA, 53 nt
Filed under: Loxosceles sp. Fuerteventura-Lanzarote
Lineage: Eukaryota; Metazoa; Arthropoda; Arachnida; Araneae; Sicariidae
Description: tRNA-Leu
Source: RNAcentral